This 399-nucleotide ribosomal RNA is filed under the name uncultured bacterium. Its description in RNAcentral is "bacterial SSU rRNA". It matches the Rfam family "Bacterial small subunit ribosomal RNA", at positions 28 to 416 of the family's 1533-position model. The record is from RNAcentral.
GACGAACGCUGGCGGCGUGCUUAACACAUGCAAGUCGAGCGGUAAGGCCCUUCGGGUACACGAGCGGCGAACGGGUGAGUAAUCACGUGGGUGGCCUGCCCUUCACUCUGGGAUAAGCCUGGGAAACUGGGUCUAAUACCGGAUAUGACCUGCUCUCGCAUGGGGGUUGGGUGGAAAGUCAGUGUUGUAGUGAUGCUGGCGGUGGUGGAUGGGCCCGCGGUCUAUCAGCNGUUGGUGGGGUGAUGGCCUACCAAGGCGACGACGGAUAGCCGGCCUGAGAGGGCGACCGGCCACACUGGGACUGAGACACGGCCCAGACUCCUACGGGAGGCAGCAGUGGGGAAUCUUGCGCAAUGGGCGGAAGCCUGACGCAGCAACGCCGCGUGGGGGAUGACGGCC